RNAcentral lists this long non-coding RNA (634 nucleotides) under Ananas comosus (pineapple). RNAcentral describes it as "long non-coding RNA (ACOM_LNC018610)". Lineage: Eukaryota; Viridiplantae; Streptophyta; Magnoliopsida; Poales; Bromeliaceae. The record is from RNAcentral.
CCAAAAGGUACAUAUCUUUACAUUUCUUCGUAUAGUCUCAUCUUUUUUCAAAACGUAUACCCUUUCAUCUUUCUUCAUAUUUUUUCAAAAUGUACCCUCUCUCAUCUCUCCACCCUUCACAUUUUUUUAAAAUAUACACUCAUUUUUCACCUUUCAUUCUUUACAAAACGUACACCCUCUCAUCUCCACACCCUUCAUACUUUUCAAAAUGUAUACCCUCUUAUUUCUCCACCCUUCAUACUUUUCAAAACCUUUAUAUUUUUUUAAAACGUACAUCCUAAAUUUGAAAGUAUAGAUUUCUACAUAAUAUUAUGUUUUUUCAAAAUCUUUAUAGCAUUAUAGUGCGUUUCUAUUUUAAACUUUUCUUUUUUUUUUUCUUCGUCAUCCUCUCUCUCUCUCUCCUCAUUAUCAGAGGAGUUGGUGAUAGUGUAAUUUUUUUUCUGGAUGUGAUAUAGAUUUUGAUGCAGAAAAAAAUGAAAUUUGAUUUUGAUGCAAAAAUAAAAAACCAAAACCCAUUAUAAUUCGUCGAAUAAUGAAAUCAUCUCCAAUUUUUUUUUUCUUUCUCUUAUAUUCUUGCAUUAAAUUAUUUUUUUUAAUUUCUAUCUAUGAAACAAUUUUUAUUCUCCUAUAUAUA